RNAcentral lists this ribosomal RNA (813 nucleotides) under uncultured bacterium. Its description in RNAcentral is "bacterial SSU rRNA". It matches the Rfam family "Bacterial small subunit ribosomal RNA", at positions 556 to 1366 of the family's 1533-position model. The record is from RNAcentral.
GGGCGUAAAGAGCUUGUAGGCGGUUUGCCGCGUCUGCUGUGAAAGCCCGGGGCUUAACUCCGGGUGUGCAGUGGGUACGGGCAGGCUAGAGUGCAGUAGGGGAGACUGGAAUUCCUGGUGUAGCGGUGAAGUGCGCAGAUAUCAGGAGGAACACCGAUGGCGAAGGCAGGUCUCUGGGCUGUUACUGACGCUGAGAAGCGAAAGCAUGGGUAGCGAACAGGAUUAGAUACCCUGGUAGUCCGUGCCGUAAACGUUGGGCACUAGGUGUGGGGGACAUUCCACGUUUUCCGCGCCGUAGCUAACGCAUUAAGUGCCCCGCCUGGGGAGUACGGCCGCAAGGCUAAAACUCAAAGGAAUUGACGGGGGCCCGCACAAGCGGCGGAGCAUGCGGAUUAAUUCGAUGCAACGCGAAGAACCUUACCAAGGCUUGACAUACACCGGACCGCUGCAGAGAUGCAGUUUCCCUUCGGGGCUGGUGUACAGGUGGUGCAUGGUUGUCGUCAGCUCGUGUCGUGAGAUGUUGGGUUAAGUCCCGCAACGAGCGCAACCCUUAUCCUAUGUUGCCAGCACGUGAUGGUGGGGACUCAUGGGAGACUGCCGGGGUCAACUCGGAGGAAGGUGGGGAUGACGUCAAAUCAUCAUGCCCCUUAUGUCUUGGGCUUCACGCAUGCUACAAUGGCCGGUACAGUGGGUUGCGAUGCCGUGAGGUGGAGCUAAUCCCUAAAAGCCGGUCUCAGUUCGGAUCGAAGUCUGCAACUCGACUUCGUGAAGUUGGAGUCGCUAGUAAUCGCAGAUCAGCAAUGCUGCGGUGAU